RNAcentral lists this ribosomal RNA (253 nucleotides) under uncultured bacterium. RNAcentral's name for it is "partial 16S ribosomal RNA". It matches the Rfam family "Bacterial small subunit ribosomal RNA", at positions 524 to 776 of the family's 1533-position model. The record is from RNAcentral.
GACGUAGGGGACGAGCGUUGUCCGGAUUCAUUGGGCGUAAAGCGCGCGUAGGCGGUUCGGUAAGUCGGGUGUGAAAACACGAGGCUCAACCUCGUGCGUGCAUCCGAUACUGCCGGACUAGAGGUAGGUAGGGGAGAUCGGAAUUCCUGGUGUAGCGGUGAAAUGCGCAGAUAUCAGGAGGAACACCGGUGGCGUAGACGGCUUACUGGACCACGACUGACACUGAGGCACGAAAGCGUGGGUAGCAAACAGG